This 492-nucleotide ribosomal RNA is filed under the name uncultured bacterium. RNAcentral's name for it is "partial 16S ribosomal RNA". It matches the Rfam family "Bacterial small subunit ribosomal RNA", at positions 29 to 507 of the family's 1533-position model. The record is from RNAcentral.
AGUGAACGCUGGCGGUAGGCCUAACACAUGCAAGUCGAACGGCAGCACAGUAAGAGCUUGCUCUUACGGGUGGCGAGUGGCGGACGGGUGAGGAAUACAUCGGAAUCUACUUUUUCGUGGGGGAUAACGUAGGGAAACUUACGCUAAUACCGCAUACGACCUACGGGUGAAAGCAGGGGAUCUUCGGACCUUGCGCGAUUGAAUGAGCCGAUGUGGGAUUAGCUAGUUGGCGGGGUAAAGGCCCACCAAGGCGGCGAUCCGUAGCUGGUCUGAGAGGAUGAUCAGCCGCACUGGAGCUGGGACGCGGUCCAGACUCCUGCGGGAGGCAGCAGUGGGGAAUAUUGGACAAUGGGCGCAAGCCUGAUCCAGCCAUACCGCGUGGGAGAAGAAGGCCUUCGGGUUGUAAAGCCCUUUUGUUGGGAAAGAAAAGCAGCAGGUUAAUACCCCGCUGUUCUGACGGUACCCAAAGAAUAAGCACCGGCUAACUUCGUG